GGGAGCCAUAGACAUAAUAUAAUUAUAUUAUGUCUAUGGCGGGAGCAUUCUUGGCAACGUUGGCUUUAUUUAGCGACUUUUCAGAGCCUCCUAAUAGCUUCUUUAAAAACAAAUCCGACAAGCGACAUCCCUGGAAAUGCAGGAUAUUUUUCUGCUGCUGGUGUCGACUGACCUGACAGUUGACAAACUGAAAUAAAUUGCUGAGGUCAAACAACAUGAGGAAGGAUGCUCCGUCUGUUGAUCGGCCAGUUCAAGGCAGGGGAAGUGAGUUUUGUAAUGGUCCCACUGAGACCAAAUACAAUAACGGGUGAGUGAUGAAGAUGUUGAGUUGAUGUUUUUUUUUUUUUUUACAGAUGUUUGCCUGCGAACAUUUAAUCAGAACAGAUUUUUUGCUUAAGGAAUGCAAAAUAUUUGUGGCAAAUUUAUUAAUAAAACUUCAGAUUAAACUGUUAGAAUAAGAAUAAAUAGGUGUCUCUGCA
Poecilia latipinna (sailfin molly) is the source of this 479-nucleotide long non-coding RNA. RefSeq lists it as uncharacterized. Lineage: Eukaryota; Metazoa; Chordata; Actinopteri; Cyprinodontiformes; Poeciliidae. The record is from RefSeq and is a predicted model, not a curated record. The transcript has 2 exons.